RNAcentral lists this transfer RNA (74 nucleotides) under Bacteroidales bacterium. Its description in RNAcentral is "tRNA-Val". It matches the Rfam family "tRNA". From Rfam's summary of the family: Transfer RNA (tRNA) molecules are approximately 80 nucleotides in length. Their secondary structure includes four short double-helical elements and three loops (D, anti-codon, and T loops). Lineage: Bacteria; Pseudomonadati; Bacteroidota; Bacteroidia; Bacteroidales. The record is from RNAcentral.
GGGCAAUUAACUCAGUGGUUUAGAGUGCUACCUUGACAGGGUAGAGGUCGCAGGUUCGAAUCCCGCAUUGCCCA